GGCCGUCGAAGGUGAAACCAAUGACUGGGGUGAAGUCGUAACAAGGUAGCCGUAUCGGAAGGUGCGGCUGGAUCACCUCCUUUCUAAGGAG
Molecule: ribosomal RNA, 91 nt
Filed under: Paraclostridium sordellii
Lineage: Bacteria; Bacillati; Bacillota; Clostridia; Peptostreptococcales; Peptostreptococcaceae
Description: partial 16S ribosomal RNA
Rfam family: Bacterial small subunit ribosomal RNA
Source: RNAcentral